AGAAGAAAAAAAUCCUGCUUGCGCGAAUUUAGAAGAAGAACAACGACACUAAACGGUAAAUUAUUAGUUAAUAAAUUGAAUUUUAAUUAGGAAAGCUAAAAAUACAAAACUAAUAUCAAAAUAGGAUAGAGCUCGUCAAAACGAGAAUUUUGAUACAAAUUUCAAAAAUUUAGCCCAAAAUCGGACCGGAAAGGCCGAACCGGGGCCCAAACUGGGCUCGUGGGUCCAACCGGACCCAAACAUUUAAAUGAAACAGCAGCUCUCUUCUUCCUCAUUAGCUGCUGGACGCCAUAACAGAAAGGGAGAGGGAAGAAGAACCCUAACCCUCACCAUUCCUUCCAACUACCAUAACUUCCUCAUCCGGGCUCCGAUCGCUGCACCAUUCGCGGCCACGCGCUCAGCGUGUCGAGCUCUACCUUCCUAUUCGAACAAUUCCACUGGUAAGUCUCCUAUUAAGCCCAGAAUCUCUAUCCCUCUUUCUUUGGUAAACUUGGAAACCUAUAGUGAAUCUUGUCCAAUUUUUGUGUUAUAGGUUCAAGUUAGUUUCCAGAACUUGUGGGCUCAAGCUAUUGAGCAUAUGGGUAUGGUGUAGGUUAAGUGGGUGUUUAUGCAUUGGAAUUGAAUUGGGAUCACUUGGAGGUUUGUUGGUGACCAAGGCUUGAUUUGGGGCUGUUUGAUUGAGCUUGGAGGGGCUGUAAUUUUGCGUUGUGAGGCUGCCUUGGGUGAAUUAAGUGAUCGGCCAAGAUGCAGGUCGAGAGGCUCCUCGCUAGACGUCUGGAUCCUGGAAAGCGAAGUAGUGCUUGGGUGUAUUUUGGUUUCUGGUUGUAUAUAUGUUUAUAUAUGUUUAGCUUACUCUCCAAGUAACUUAUGUAUGCUGCUCCUCUUAGAGGUUGAGGGAGAGAUAGGUGUUUACUUUGAUAUUUUGGUAUAUUUUGGGAUAUUUUGAGAACACUUAUGUAUGUUUAUAUGUAUAUAUAUAUCCUCCGGCCAGCCUUAGCUUCGCAGGCUGAGUCAGGGGCUAGUUGUGCUGCUUCCUUGGUUGUCCUUUAUUCUUUUGCUUAUCUUUAUCAUGUUCCUAUUAGGUUUCUUAGCACGCAAGUAAUCCUUUCCUG
Molecule: non-coding RNA, 1112 nt
Organism: Arachis ipaensis
Lineage: Eukaryota; Viridiplantae; Streptophyta; Magnoliopsida; Fabales; Fabaceae
Source: RefSeq, a predicted model, not a curated record